UGGGGAAUUUUGGACAAUGGGGGAAACCCUGAUCCAGCCAUCCCGCGUGUGCGAUGAAGGCCUUCGGGUUGUAAAGCACUUUUGGCAGGAAAGAAACGUCGCGGGUUAAUACCCCGCGAAACUGACGGUACCUGCAGAAUAAGCACCGGCUAACUACGUGCCAGCAGCCGCGGUAAUACGUAGGGUGCAAGCGUUAAUCGGAAGUUACUGGGCGUAAAGCGUGCGCAGGCGGUUCGGAAAGAAAGAUGUGAAAUCCCAGAGCUUAACUUUGGAACUGCAUUUUUAACUACCGGGCUAGAGUGUGUCAGAGGGAGGUGGAAUUCCGCGUGUAGCAGUGAAAUGCGUAGAUAUGCGGAGGAACACCGAUGGCGAAGGCAGCCUCCUGGGGAUAACACUGACGCUCAUGCACGAAAAGCGUGGGGGAGC
This 426-nucleotide ribosomal RNA is filed under the name uncultured bacterium. RNAcentral describes it as "partial 16S ribosomal RNA". It matches the Rfam family "Bacterial small subunit ribosomal RNA", at positions 355 to 769 of the family's 1533-position model. The record is from RNAcentral.